This 101-nucleotide small RNA is filed under the name Terrisporobacter othiniensis. RNAcentral's name for it is "Clostridioides difficile sRNA included into helicase gene". It matches the Rfam family "Clostridioides difficile sRNA included into helicase gene". Rfam says of the family: This element was identified by RNA deep sequencing of Clostridioides difficile 630 where it is located within gene CD0749 (putative DNA helicase, UvrD/REP type) in the same direction as the gene. The record is from Rfam by way of RNAcentral. Lineage: Bacteria; Bacillati; Bacillota; Clostridia; Peptostreptococcales; Peptostreptococcaceae.
GAUGAUGAGAAAAAAGAUGAGCAAAUUGAAGAAGAGAGAAGACUUAUGUAUGUAGGUAUGACUCGUGCAGAGGAAAGUUUAACUUUGAGCUCACCGAUAAA